UCCCACCACAAGCCAGUCCAUAUCCAGCUGAAACCCCAGACUAAAUUUCCUUCUUGUCCCCAAUUUCCCAUCUCCAAAACCCACAGGGAGGGACUUAAACCCAUCAUAGACCCAUUACUUGCCCGGCGACUCCUCAUUCCUACAGACUCCCCCUCAACACCCCCAUAUUGCCAGUACACAAACCCUCAGGGGCCUAUCGCUUAGUCCAGGACCUCCACCUAAUUAAUGAGGCGGUCAUUCCCUCCACCCGGUGGUUCCCAGCCCUGACACUCUUCUUUCUCCUAUCCCCUCUCUGACCACUCGCUUUACUGUCCUGGAUCUUAAAGCUGCCUUCUUUACAGCGCCCCUCCAUCCUGACUCUUAUCACCUCUUUGCCUUCACAUGGGAAGACCCUGCGUCCUUUAGGUCUCAACAGCUGACAUGGACAGCCCUACCCCAAGGGUUCAGGGACAGUCGCCACCUCCUUGGUCAGGCCUUGGCACAGGAUCCAACUGCUUGUGACUUGGGGACAGCACUCUCUUACAGCUGGAUAGGAGCCUUCCCUACCCCCAGGGAAACUGCUGACACCCUCGCCUCCAUCUUUAUCGAGCAGAUCAUUCCCAGGUUCAGACUUCCCACCUCCAUCCAGUCAGACAACGGUCCAGCCUUCACUUCUCAGGUUCAACUAGUCUCCAAAGGCCUCAACAUCACUUGGAAGCUCCACAUCUCCCACCAACCCCCAUCCUCGGGUGAGGUUGACAGGACUGACAGCAUUCUCAAGGAUCAUCUCACUAAACUUGCUAUGGAACUUGGCUGUCCUGGCCCCAUCUCCUGCCGUUGGCCCUCACCUGAGUCCCUUUGAGCUGCUCUAUGGCGCCCUUUCUUAAUCAAGCAAAGCUUUCCUGUCACCACUCCUCCCCUGUGUCCCACCUGCCCUAUCUCACACUUCUACACAGACUCCUAAGGGAACACACAGACCGGUGUCUUCCUGCACCAUCUGUUACCUCUGUCCCAGCACAACCAGGAACUGAAUCGGACCCUCUUCAACCGGGUGACGCAGUCUUACUUCGAGAGCUGCAUCCUCAGUUGUAGCAACCUCGCUGGACAGGACCCCAGUCAUACUUACUACCCCAAUGGUGGCCAAGCUCUUGGGCCACUCCCCCUGGUACCAUGUGUUCUUCCUUAGGAAAGCACCUGUUCCAAAUGUCCAGUCCUGGACUUCCACCACAUUGGGGCCCACCCAACUCAAGGUUUCUCGCCAACCCUCUUCUUCUUUUGCUAAUCAUUACUCUCUCUCAAGCUUCUCUCCCAACCCACAGAUGGCGCUUCUACAUCCAAGCGACAUGGCAGCAGGAUGGCACCACCCACUCUCAGUUUAUGGGCCAAGGCGAUUGCCCUUUCACUGGCUGUAAUCGGGCUAUCACCCCUAAUGUUACUGGAUUCAACAGGGCCACCUCGUCCCACCUGUGCACAGCAAUGCUGUGCUUCAUAGCAGACCAAACUGAGGAAUCCUGUAAGUGCCGGCCUGACACCUAAGGUGGGUGCCCUGAUAAUUCAUGCAAGACACGCUUCCUAGAUGAGCCUGGCUAUGAGAGUCGAG
RNAcentral lists this long non-coding RNA (1579 nucleotides) under Marmota monax (woodchuck). Lineage: Eukaryota; Metazoa; Chordata; Mammalia; Rodentia; Sciuridae. The record is from RNAcentral.